This 24-nucleotide non-coding RNA is filed under the name Arabidopsis thaliana (thale cress). The record is from RNAcentral. Lineage: Eukaryota; Viridiplantae; Streptophyta; Magnoliopsida; Brassicales; Brassicaceae. RNAcentral also lists the same sequence under 2 other names.
UUCACCAAGUGUUGGAUUGUUCAC